Electrophorus electricus (electric eel) is the source of this 4789-nucleotide non-coding RNA. Lineage: Eukaryota; Metazoa; Chordata; Actinopteri; Gymnotiformes; Gymnotidae. The record is from RefSeq and is a predicted model, not a curated record.
AAGAGUUAAGGAGCAAACACAGGAAACAGGUAAUUGAACCAGACAGUUCCCCAUGAUGGAGAAACUGUCAGAGCGAACGAGAGACAGAGACGGAGGAAAACAGAGUGAGGAAACCCAAUCAAUUGACUCACACUUGGAGUGUGCAAUUAAGUGGCAUUUCCCAGUACGCGACCACGGAUGAGUUCAUCUCAGCAUGGAAACCCACAUUUCUCCCGCUCCAUCUUCAACACUGCAGUCCACAUGAGACACAUCUCAUUAACCUCCUCGUUUCAAUGUCUUAUACUGGAGACCUGUCAGUCACAAGGCCUCUGAUGACAUCACCAUUCAGGUCGAGUGAAGUAUUUGCACCUGCUCGGUUGUACAGUUUCCCUUUGCAUACUGUAGCCCAAUUUUCAUCCUGUUCUCAAAUAUGGGUUUGGGGAUCUGUCAUUUGUGACUUUCAACAUGAAAGGUAUGUGGAACAAAAACCUUAAGAGACAAUUUGACCAGAUACUUUCAAAAGUGAGUUGAAAUGUAAAACGGUAACUGGCUUCGAUGUCUUUCAUUUUUAACCAUGCAAACAUAUGGUCAAAUGUUUGCUCUUUUAAAUUUAGGAUUAAAUCACUAUACACAAGGACAUUAGUAUUUAACGUCAUCAGCGUGGUUACGGAUUUACAUGCCUCAUAUUGAGAUUUGAUUAAAUCCCCCCUUUGAACUAUUAGCAUCCAAAUGUCAAAGUUUUGGGUCCAUAGUCCAACCUUAUCCUUACACCAACAGUGGUCUCAUUAUGGUUAUACGGAUUGCACAAACAGGAAGUAUCUAUGUGCGGUUGAGGCUAUUAGGAGACUCUGACAGGAUGCUCACCCACGCUCAGACCACAAAUAGUCCGCUGAAGACAUCAUGAAAAGCCCGAGAGAUCCGGCCUUGCGCUACGCCGCUUCAAAUGAGUAAUCGCGAAAGGUGCAGGGAAAAUAGAGCGGGGAUGCAGGAAAAGCGUCCGAGCGUGAGUGUCGAGAGAGGGCCGCCAUUUCUGAAGCUCGGAGAAGCCUGGCGCGCUUGACUUUAGAAAGAAUGUGGAAAGGCCGUUUACCUUUAUCGUUCCGUUUACGGCGAUGGGCAAAUUCAUGUGGGCUUGCGCUUCAUAUUCCACGAUCAGCUAUGGACUGUAAUUCCGUGUAUUCGGACACCUCCAACACCUCCGGCCAGUCCGUCGUGACCGCUCGGGGAAAGAUUAAACGUUGGAAAGGUAUAGCCUACCUCUUCGCGAUCUCCCUCAAACACCGUUAUCUCCGCGCCCCCAUUUCCAGAAGUCUCCGUUGGUUUGUGCGGUGAGGAGAAGAAUGGUGGUUGAUGUCAUCGAUACUCUCCGGAAAGGCAGCCUCUCCUCCUUGGUACCCCCCCAUCACACAUCCCGACGCGAGCCCUCCCUCCUCCCUCCUCCCUCCCUUGCGUGACGUGACAGAAGGCGCGCUCUCCAGCAGCAACAGCAUCCUAGCAGGCGAACUAGUUUAAUUAAUUCCGCAGAGAGCAGAGGGACGAUGAGGGUUUGCUUUUGCCCGCUGUUGAGGGUUUGCUUUUUGCCCCACUUCGUGCGGGUUGCAGGUGUAUACGGGACGUAGAUUCGGAAGACGGCGCGUGCGGUGUUUUCAUAAAGCGCUUACUCCGCACGUGCCGUUUUUCUCCAAAUAUUCUUUCGGAGAAUAAUUACAUUAGCGGCCGUAUCAUCUUUCGCUCUAUAUUAACUUACCCCGCAACAAUAGAUAUGACCCAGUCCUGGAGACUCACCAUCUGCACAAGCGUUGUUCCUGCUUUAAGGCACCUGAUAUAAUUUGCCGGAAUAAUAACUAGGCCUAAUAGUCUCAUGAAGUGAACCAGGUAGUAUACAGUUCUAAACACAUAUAGGAUAGUUUAUCCUGAAGACGGUGACAGAGAACCGAAUGUGGUAUCUGAAUACAGUUUGUACUAGAACGUGAACACUAAGAAAAGUUGAGUAAAAGCCAAAUAUAGAAAUGAGUUCUUCUUUGCCUGCCACUCCUGCUCCUUGAGAGCUAUAUCAUCAUGGUUUCAUAGUAAGGAGUUAUAUAGCUCGCCUUAUUUCGCUUGAUGGAACGAGUUAGAUGGAGCUGGAUCCUAACCGUUUGUGGGCUUACAGCAUCUGAAACAGGGAUAGGUAUACAGAUCUGAAGAAAUUUGUUCAAGAUGCAUUCUGAAGUUGUAGUGUUGCGCACUGCAUUACAGUUCAAUUAACCAAAAUCCAGCUGGGUGAAGGGUGCAGAACAAUCUUUUACUGUUUUAAUUUUGGCAACUGGAAAUCUUUUUCGUGCCUCUUUUAUUCAGGUCACGUAUGCACUCUAUCUAUUUGAGGUUUUAACAUAAACCCAAAUAUCCACUGCACACUAAGCUAAGCAUAUCUGAGCUCUACCCAUGUUGAACAUCACCUCUGUGGUCAGAGAAUAGAGUAGCAAACAGCAGAGUAAAACUCAGACAAACGAGUACACUGAUUUACUUUGGGCUUAACUGUUAAGUGCAAAUUAUGGUAGCGUGAGUUUUAGCCCACCACCCUGGAUGGUUUCAAAAAUGAUUGAAAAGGAUUCCUGCAGUUAUGAUUAAAAUUAGGCCUAUACGAAUGCUGAGAAGAUGGUACGGUGAUUCUGUAACUUAGCCUGAAAGGAGACGGAUGAAAUGUGACCUCUGGCAGGGAAGAGGUCUCAGGCUGAUCUCAGAAAAUUUACUGCUGUUUCCUACAUAAAGGAUCAAAACCUGCUUAAGAACCACCGAGUUCCCCUGAGAAAGCCAAAAGAACGCCUAGAUGUAAUUAAUAUUUCAUACGUGAGACUCGAAGCAGAAGAAGCCGUGAGAAUGACACUGAGUAAAUGCCACAAACAUAACCAUCUUCAUGGUUUUUUUUGUUUGUUUGUUUUGUUUUUUUUAGAAAUGGAUUAGAGCAGAUUGUUCACGUGUUCAAACUCUCCACCUGGUUUCCCUAUCUGACCCAGUGUGAAAGUUGCCUCACUCUUCACUCAGAUUGCAUCACACGAUCCAUAUUUGCUUUCUGGGGUAAAAGGAACACGUGUACCAAUUUGGCCCAGUGAACACAGAAACAAAGGAAGAUAUGUCGUCAAGCUAAUGGCCAAGUAUCACUCAGCGACAAGGACAGCGGGCAAGGCUGUUCCAAGAACUAUAAUCUACUGCCCCCUUGUGGCCGUAGCAUUAACCUUUUCAUCUGACGGUGGAAAGAAAUCUUUGUCUGCUGCUGCUAAACACGUUUUGCAAGGCUGCUGAAUGCUUAGCGGGUUUACAGCACAAACCGGCUGAGGUGUGACAGCCAUCAAAACAAUACAAGUGCGGUAGCUGGUGUGACUGCGGUUAUAAGAGACUGCAGGAGCGAGCAGCUGAUGUCAUGAUGGAGUCCUGUUUUCUGUCUCAUCUGCUGAGCUUUUGAAACAGGGGAGCUGAAGAGGCUACAGGGCAUUCAUCGCUGUAGCACUGCUGGAUGAUGUCUUAGUAAAAACUGAAACAUAUAUAUCAAUAAAAUCCAAUACAUUUCUAGUCCAAACUCAGAGGUUUAGAAAGAAUCUAACCAUCUGCCACCACCCUGGACUGUAAGACAAAAAUCAUUAUCGGUACAGUAUUAAAACUCAUGAUCACAUCUGGCUUUGACAGACAUUUAUAAGUUUCAGAAUAAUGAGAAACUAUAUUCCAAUUAAUCUUUGAACAGUAAUCAGUGAAUCUUGUCACAGGGAGGGGACAUGUGUAAGAGAAGACACGAAUCCUGCUAGCACCUGUUUGGUUGGAGCUAGGUCAACACUCCAUCCAAACAUCAGCCAAUGGGGAGAGCGAGAAAAACACACUACCAGUUAAAAUUUAUUUUACCUGUAUACCUGACUGAUUAAUUUACACUGCUCAAAAAUAAGUAUGUAGACCUAAUCAUCACAGUAUAAUGCCAAGUCAAUUAAACCUCAGGGAUAUCAAUCUGUCUGGUUAGGAAGCACAAGUCAUUGUGAAUGAAUUUCGCCUGCUUUGCCGCAAAUGAAAGUAACAGCAGGUGCACUAGAGAGGCAACAGCAAGCAAACCCCCCCAAAAAAGGAGUGGGUCCACAGCUUACUCUUUCCUCAUCGUUCCUGAUUCUUCUCUACAGUACUGAAGAUUUGCAUUUUGCUAGUGCCCUAGUCAGUACUGGUGGUACCUGUGGCCCAUCCAGGUUGCACAGCUAGGCCAGGAUGGCACAUCCAUACAUGCCAUCGCAAGGUUUGCUGGGUCUACCAGCCAUAGAAGGGGAUCAGCCCAGCUGCUGGAGCAGUAUCUGCUCCUUCAUGCGAGGAGGAACAGGAGGAGCACUGUCACAAGCCUACAAAAUGACCUCCAGUGGGCUACUGGUGUACGUGUUUCUGACCAAACUAUCAAGAGACCCCAUGAGGACCUGAUAUCCUCUAGUGAGACCUGCGCUCACAGCACAGCACUGUGCAGUUCGAUUGGCAUUCGCCAGAGAACACCAGAAUUGGCAGGUCUGCCACUGGCACCAUGCUCUCUUCACUACCGAGUCACAUUAUGAGCUACCAUAAUGAAAUCCAAUCGGAUCAGACCAGGAUUUCAGUUGUUUACUUUGAUUUGCGGUGUGAUUUUGAAUCCAGCCCCCACUUUUCUUCCUCCCGGACCCUUGUUGCAUCAUUUUGUUCUCAAUGAAGUGCACAAUUUAGAUCAGUAAACAUUUUCAACUAGAAUCCUUCAUACAAGAUCUGAUGUGUGGUUUAAGUGUUCCCUUCAUUUUUUGAGCAGCGUGUUCUAAACUAGGGUUAGAAAGUGAAGUAA